This 427-nucleotide ribosomal RNA is filed under the name uncultured bacterium. RNAcentral's name for it is "partial 16S ribosomal RNA". It matches the Rfam family "Bacterial small subunit ribosomal RNA", at positions 355 to 774 of the family's 1533-position model. The record is from RNAcentral.
UAGGGAAUCUUCCGCAAUGGGCGAAAGCCUGACGGAGCAACGCCGCGUGAGUGAUGAAGGUCUUCGGAUCGUAAAACUCUGUUAUCAGGGAAGAAUAAAUGUGUAAGUAACUGUGCACAUCUUGACGGUACCUGAUCAGAAAGCCACGGCUAACUACGUGCCAGCAGCCGCGGUAAUACGUAGGUGGCAAGCGUUAUCCGGAAUUAUUGGGCGUAAAGCGCGCGUAGGCGGUUUUUUAAGUCUGAUGUGAAAGCCCACGGCUCAACCGUGGAGGGUCAUUGGAAACUGGAAAACUUGAGUGCAGAAGAGGAAAGUGGAAUUCCAUGUGUAGCGGUGAAAUGCGCAGAGAUAUGGAGGAACACCAGUGGCGAAGGCGACUUUCUGGUCUGUAACUGACGCUGAUGUGCGAAAGCGUGGGGAUCAAACA